GCCUAACACAUGCAAGUCGAACGAAGCACUGUGGAUAGAGACUUCGGUCAAUUGAAGCUUUGACUUAGUGGCGGACGGGUGAGUAACGCGUGAGGAACCUGCCUUUCAGAGGGGGACGAACAGUUGGAAACGACUGCUAAUACCGCAUGACACAGCGAGAUCGCAUGGUCUUGCUGUCAAAGAUUUAUCGCUGAAAGAUGGCCUCGCGUCUGAUUAGAUAGUUGGUGAGGUAACGGCCCACCAAGUCGACGAUCAGUAGCCGGACUGAGAGGUUGAACGGCCACAUUGGGACUGAGAUACGGCCCAGACUCCUACGGGAGGCAGCAGUGGGGAAUAUUGCACAAUGGGCGCAAGCCUGAUGCAGCAACGCCGCGUGGAGGAAGACGGUUUUCGGAUUGUAAACUCCUGUUCUUAGUGAAGAAUAAUGACGGUAGCUAAGGAGCAAGCCACGGCUAACUACGUG
RNAcentral lists this ribosomal RNA (463 nucleotides) under uncultured bacterium. Its description in RNAcentral is "bacterial SSU rRNA". It matches the Rfam family "Bacterial small subunit ribosomal RNA", at positions 46 to 507 of the family's 1533-position model. The record is from RNAcentral.